This is a small nucleolar RNA of Phocoena sinus (vaquita), 133 nucleotides long. Ensembl annotates it as small nucleolar RNA SNORA41. Its record names the gene SNORA41. NCBI's taxonomy places the organism in Eukaryota, Metazoa, Chordata, Mammalia, Artiodactyla, Phocoenidae. The record is from Ensembl.
UUCCACAGCUACUGGUCUGCAGCUGUUUUUAUGGUAGCAGUUGUGGCAUUCCUCUGUGGGAAAGAAACUGUUACACAACUAAACACCUCUUUCUCAGCAAAAUAGAAAGUGGGCAUAUGUGUGACAAACACAA